UAUAUAUUAUACAACGGAUUAUAUUUCAGAAAUUCCUUAACUUUAAUCACAACUUGAUAUUUCUCGUUGCGUCUCGUUGUCCAUAAAUUUAUUUGAAAUUUUCGUGAAUUUAUCCUUUAAAAGUUCCUCGAAAAGCGAAAGAAAAGUUUGACAGACGUUUCUCGAAAGAUUGAACAAAUCAGACUUCGAACUUAAAUGUUUUCGAGUCUUCUAGAGGAACAAAUGGUUUCGAGUUGGGCAGCAGGAUCCUCUGAUUCCGUGAUCCUCAAAGUUUUACGUCACGGUUGAUAGUUUUGCACUCUUGAUUAAAGACGAUAUUGUCAGGCACAAUUCGCCUACUUGAAUCCCGCGCAAACUGCUCGCACAUCUCGCUUCUAAUUAAACGUAGAAAUUUGCUUUUCAAGUGUAGCGCAAUUAUAUUUUCAGAGAACGAGUAAACUUUCGUAUAUAGGUCACAUCAUUUUUCGUGUUUCUAACAUUUUUCUUCUUUCCAUCGCUGUACUUCUUUUUCGAUUAUCGUCCAUGCUUUUAAGCUCUUCACGAAAAUUUACCGCCUUCUCUGACAACUAGGUGAGUUUCGAAUACAUAUACGCAAAGUAUAUGAGCUCUUAUGUAGGUAGAUAGACUAUGUGAUCACGUAAAUAUGUCGCAUAAACACUCGAAUGAAACGUUAACAUUAAGUGGAUUCGACACGAGUGAUCUCGAUAUUUGAUCUCGAAAUUUACGCACCCUCUUUAAGAUUAUGCGCUCACCGUGUUGAAUAUUCAUGAUCAACCGGAAAUGGAAUGUAUUCAAGGCGUAAUUCCACCGUAAUUGGUUACCAGCCUUCUAAGUGAUAAAUACGCGUGCUCGUUCGUUGUUUUCUUACAUAGAAAAUUUGCCUAAAAUUAGCGAGAUCGAUACGGAAACGAUCGUGGGCUUUUGGAUAUCAAAAUCCGGAGCGAAGGUAAAUGUUGCCUACAUGAGAGAUAUAGUUGCUGGCUGGCAACAAUUCAAUGCGUACAAUUGACGUCACGCUCGCACUGUUUCGAAUUAAUGAAGCAGAACCUGUUCGAAGUUUAGUGGCUGAUAGCGUUCAAUCCACAAGAGGGAGAGGGAGAGAGGAAGGCAGAAACAGACAUAGAAAUUGCGACAACUUGUUUUUAUACAAAUGUAUAUAUAUUUUAAACAUAUGCAUUUCUAUUCAAGGGACUAGUACAAACCCCGCGACGAAAUACGUUUGACGCGCGACCUAUUUCGAGUUCGCGAUGCGACACGCUGCAGUUUUUGCGUGUGACUAACUUUCACCAGAAAUUGAACACGAAAACCCCUGGUUCAAAGGUGAGAUGAUAGUGUCACACGAAACGAGAAAAUUUCACGAUCAAAUUCUUUUUCGGUAAUCUUCUAGUUAUACGUGAUAUAAAUUAAUCCCUACUUAAAGGCAAGAAAUUAAAAACCAAAAAUUUAAAAAAAAUAAAAAUGACAAAAUAAAAAUUUCACGCUAUGGGAAAAUUUACGUUAAUCGUUUCGUUGUGAAUUCAAAAUAAAAUGCUGUGAAGAUAUUCGAUUUUUCUUUUUUUAUUUUUGCGAAGUUACAUACGUGUUACUUGUCGUAAUAUUUUAAUAAAUUAUUUUUAUUCGGUUUUAUCACGGUAUAUGAUAAAUUUACUACACGUGUAUAUUUCUGGUUCCAGUGAUAUUUUAUAUUACCUCAUCUUUCAAAUGAGAUUUCGUAUAAAAAGUUUUUAUAAAUAAAUUAAUUUCACGCUCGUAGAAAACGUUUCCUUCGUUAGCUUCGAAUAUAAAAACAAUAAGAAAACAUUCGUUUUAAUUCGUGUUGUGGAAUGUAAUUAUUAAUAAAUUAAACGAUAUUAGAUUCAUGUUUCCUAGCUAAUAAAAAUAUUAUAAAAAGUAAUAUUCAUGAAGAAAAUAUCUCCUAUAUUCCGAUGAUUCUUUUAAUAUCGAGACAAUUUCUUGAUUUACGAGGCAUGUCUCGUGAAAGACAGUAUCGUGAAACCAGUCGUUCAAUCAUACUUCGAUUUCCGUCCAUAUUGGAACACGGUUUCCGGAAGUGGCACGAAUCUGCCACGUCUUCGACACGAUAAAUGCAAAGUACGUACUAACGGCAACAGAAGGCGGGUUCUGGGGUUUCGAACGAUGUUCUGUGGGCUCUUUUUCCUCUCUGCG
Molecule: long non-coding RNA, 2166 nt
Filed under: Apis dorsata (giant honeybee)
Lineage: Eukaryota; Metazoa; Arthropoda; Insecta; Hymenoptera; Apidae
Description: uncharacterized LOC116185583
Source: RNAcentral